UUUUUAAUUGGGAUCUGGUAUGAAUGAUUGGACAAGAGAAAUACUGUCUUUGUAUUAGAACUUGAAUUUAACUUUUAAGUGAAAAGGCUUAAAUAUUCUAAGGGGACGAUAAGACCCUAUAAAACUUUACAUUUGUGUUAAAUUUAAUGAAAUUUUGAGGGUUUAUAAUUAUUAAAUUUAAUUUUUUGUUAUGUUGGGGAGACAAGAGCUAUAAUUGUGUGUAACUGCUUUUUAAAAAAACAAUAAAUAAGUGGAGAGAUUAGAGAUCCUUUAUUGAGAUUAUAAGAUUAAGUUACUUUAGGGAUAACAGCGUUAUUUUUUUUGAGAGUUCAUAUCGAAAAAAAAGAUUGCGACCUCGAUGUUGAAUUAAAAUAUCUUUAUAAUGUAGGUGUUAUAAAAGAAGGUCUGUUCGACCUUUAAUUUUUU
Molecule: ribosomal RNA, 426 nt
Filed under: Potamonautes sp. 4 SRD-2015
Lineage: Eukaryota; Metazoa; Arthropoda; Malacostraca; Decapoda; Potamonautidae
Description: partial 16S ribosomal RNA
Rfam family: Bacterial large subunit ribosomal RNA (bases 303-426)
Source: RNAcentral